UUCUCCUGGGAAACGGGUGGUAAUGCCGGAUGCUCCAGUUGAUCGCAUGGUCUUCUGGGAAAGCUUUCGCGGUAUGGGAUGGGGUCGCGUCCUAUCAGCUUGACGGCGGGGUAACGGCCCACCGUGGCUUCGACGGGUAGCCGGCCUGAGAGGGCGACCGGCCACAUUGGGACUGAGAUACGGCCCAGACUCCUACGGGAGGCAGCAGUGGGGAAUAUUGCACAAUGGGCGCAAGCCUGAUGCAGCGACGCCGCGUGAGGGAUGGAGGCCUUCGGGUUGUAAACCUCUUUUAUCGGGGAGCAAGCGAGAGUGAGUUUACCCGUUGAAUAAGCACCGGCUAACUACGUGCCAGCAGCCGCGGUAAUACGUAGGGUGCAAGCGUUAUCCGGAAUUAUUGGGCGUAAAGGGCUCGUAGGCGGUUCGUCGCGUCCGGUGUGAAAGUCCAUCGCUUAACGGUGGAUCCGCGCCGGGUACGGGCGGGCUUGAGUGCGGUAGGGGAGACUGGAAUUCCCGGUGUAACGGUGGAAUGUGUAGAUAUC
Molecule: ribosomal RNA, 539 nt
Filed under: Bifidobacterium longum subsp. suillum
Lineage: Bacteria; Bacillati; Actinomycetota; Actinomycetes; Bifidobacteriales; Bifidobacteriaceae
Description: bacterial SSU rRNA
Rfam family: Bacterial small subunit ribosomal RNA
Source: RNAcentral